UGUCCGGAAUUAUUGGGCGUAAAGAGCUUGUAGGCGGUCUGUCGCGUCUGCUGUGAAAAUCCGGGGCUCAACCCCGGACUUGCAGUGGGUACGGGCAGACUAGAGUGUGGUAGGGGAGACUGGAAUUCCUGGUGUAGCGGUGAAAUGCGCAGAUAUCAGGAGGAACACCGAUGGCGAAGGCAGGUCUCUGGGCCACUACUGACGCUGAGAAGCGAAAGCAUGGGGAGCGAACAGG
This 235-nucleotide ribosomal RNA is filed under the name uncultured bacterium. RNAcentral's name for it is "partial 16S ribosomal RNA". It matches the Rfam family "Bacterial small subunit ribosomal RNA", at positions 542 to 776 of the family's 1533-position model. The record is from RNAcentral.